This 21-nucleotide non-coding RNA is filed under the name Arabidopsis thaliana (thale cress). The record is from RNAcentral. Lineage: Eukaryota; Viridiplantae; Streptophyta; Magnoliopsida; Brassicales; Brassicaceae.
UAAGUGUACCCAUCUCGUUUG